GUUAAAACUCAAAUGAAUUGACGGGGGCCCGCACAAGCGGUGGAGCAUGUGGUUUAAUUCGAUGCAACGCGAAGAACCUUACCUGGUCUUGACAUCCACAGAAGUUUCCAGAGAUGAGAUUGUGCCUUCGGGAACUGUGAGACAGGUGCUGCAUGGCUGUCGUCAGCUCGUGUUGUGAAAUGUUGGGUUAAGUCCCGCAACGAGCGCAACCCUUAUCCUUUGUUGCCAGCGAUUAGGUCGGGAACUCAAAGGAGACUGCCAGUGAUAAACUGGAGGAAGGUGGGGAUGACGUCAAGUCAUCAUGGCCCUUACGACCAGGGCUACACACGUGCUACAA
Molecule: ribosomal RNA, 337 nt
Filed under: Salmonella enterica subsp. enterica serovar Anatum
Lineage: Bacteria; Pseudomonadati; Pseudomonadota; Gammaproteobacteria; Enterobacterales; Enterobacteriaceae
Description: bacterial SSU rRNA
Rfam family: Bacterial small subunit ribosomal RNA
Source: RNAcentral